GCCCCCGUAUCUCAGCGGAAGAGCGGGUGGCUAACGCCUCCAGGCCGCUGGUUCGACUCCAGCCGGGGGCA
RNAcentral lists this transfer RNA (71 nucleotides) under Phytophthora lateralis MPF4. RNAcentral describes it as "tRNA-Undet for anticodon ???". It matches the Rfam family "tRNA". Rfam says of the family: Transfer RNA (tRNA) molecules are approximately 80 nucleotides in length. The record is from RNAcentral. Lineage: Eukaryota; Oomycota; Peronosporomycetes; Peronosporales; Peronosporaceae.